AGAGUUUGAUCCUGGCUCAGGAUGAACGCUGGCGGCGUGCUUAACACAUGCAAGUCGAGCGAAGCACUUAUGACGAUCCUUCGGGUGAAUCAUUUGUGACUGAGCGGCGGACGGGUGAGUAACGCGUGAGUAACCUGCCUCAUACAGGGGAAUAACAGUUAGAAAUGACUGCUAAUGCCGCAUAAGCGCACAGGGCCGCAUGGCCCGGUGUGAAAAACUCCGGUGGUAUGAGAUGGACUCGCGUCUGAUUAGCUAGUUGGCAGGGUAACGGCCUACCAAGGCGACGAUCAGUAGCCGGCCUGAGAGGGUGAACGGCCACAUUGGGACUGAGACACGGCCCAAACUCCUACGGGAGGCAGCAGUGGGGAAUAUUGCACAAUGGGGGAAACCCUGAUGCAGCGACGCCGCGUGAGUGAAGAAGUAUUUCGGUAUGUAAAGCUCUAUCAGCAGGGAAGAAAAUGACGGUACCUGACUAAGAAGCCCCGGCUAACUACGUGCCAGCAGCCGCGGUAAUACGUAGGGGGCAAGCGUUAUCCGGAUUUACUGGGCGUAAAGGGAGCGUAGACGGCUUUGCAAGUCUGACGUGAAACUCCGGGGCUCAACUCCGGAACUGCGUUGGAAACUGUAAGGCUUGAGUGCCGGAGAGGUAAGCGGAAUUCCUAGUGUAGCGGUGAAAUGCGUAGAUAUUAGGAGGAACACCAGUGGCGAAGGCGGCUUACUGGACGGCAACUGACGUUGAGGCUCGAAAGCGUGGGGAGCAAACAGGAUUAGAUACCCUGGUAGUCCACGCGGUAAACGAUGAAUACUAGGUGUUGGGGGACAAAGUCCUUCGGUGCCGCCGCAAACGCAUUAAGUAUUCCACCUGGGGAGUACGUUCGCAAGAAUGAAACUCAAAGGAAUUGACGGGGACCCGCACAAGCGGUGGAGCAUGUGGUUUAAUUCGACGCAACGCGAAGAACCUUACCAAGUCUUGACAUCCUGCGACGGUGCUGGAAACAGUACUUUCCUUCGGGACGCAGAGACAGGUGGUGCAUGGUUGUCGUCAGCUCGUGUCGUGAGAUGUUGGGUUAAGUCCCGCAACGAGCGCAACCCUUAUGGUCAGUUACUACGCAAGAGGACUCUGGCCAGACUGCCGUUGACAAAACGGAGGAAGGUGGGGAUGACGUCAAAUCAUCAUGCCCUUUAUGACUUGGGCUACACACGUACUACAAUGGCGUUAAACAAAGAGAAGCAAGACCGCGAGGUGGAGCAAAACUCAGAAACAACGUCCCAGUUCGGACUGCAGGCUGCAACUCGCCUGCACGAAGUCGGAAUUGCUAGUAAUCGCAGAUCAGCAUGCUGCGGUGAAUACGUUCCCGGGCCUUGUACACACCGCCCGUCACACCAUGAGAGCCGGGGGGACCCGAAGUCGGUAGUCUAACCGCAAGGAGGACGCCGCCGAAGGUAAAACUGGUGAUUGGGGUGAAGUCGUAACAAGGUA
Molecule: ribosomal RNA, 1480 nt
Filed under: metagenome
Description: bacterial SSU rRNA
Rfam family: Bacterial small subunit ribosomal RNA
Source: RNAcentral